This 46-nucleotide unclassified non-coding RNA is filed under the name uncultured archaeon. The record is from RNAcentral.
UUGAGCCGUAUGCGGUGAAAGUCGCAUGUACGGUUCUUAGAAGAGA